ACUUGGCUGGUUCAGUUGGUGGAACAUCUGACUCUGGAUCUCAGGGUCAUGAGUUCAAGCCCCAUGUUGGGCA
Molecule: transfer RNA, 73 nt
Filed under: Ailuropoda melanoleuca (giant panda)
Lineage: Eukaryota; Metazoa; Chordata; Mammalia; Carnivora; Ursidae
Rfam family: tRNA
About the family: Transfer RNA (tRNA) molecules are approximately 80 nucleotides in length. Their secondary structure includes four short double-helical elements and three loops (D, anti-codon, and T loops).
Source: Rfam by way of RNAcentral